AUACGGAGGAUGCAAGCGUUAUCCGGAUUUAUUGGGUUUAAAGGGUGCGUAGGCGGAUGAUUAAGCGUGAGGUGAAAUGCCACUGCUCAACAGUGGAACUGCCUCGCGCACUGGUUGUCUUGAAUGCUCCUGCCGUGGGAGGAAUGUGUGGUGUAGCGGUGACAUGCAUAGAGAUCACACAGAACACCGAUUGCGAAGGCAUCUCACGAAGGGGUGAUUGACGCUGAGGCACGAAAGCGUGGGGAUCAAACAGGAUUAGAUACCCUGGUAGUCCACGCAGUAAACGAUGAUAACUAACCGCUGGGUCGUAGUGAUUCAGUGGCCAAGCGAAAGCGAUAAGUUAUCCACCUGGGGAGUACGACCGCAAGGUUGAAACUCAAAGGAAUUGACGGGG
This 394-nucleotide ribosomal RNA is filed under the name uncultured bacterium. RNAcentral's name for it is "partial 16S ribosomal RNA". It matches the Rfam family "Bacterial small subunit ribosomal RNA", at positions 523 to 918 of the family's 1533-position model. The record is from RNAcentral.